GCUCACGUGGAGCCAGUGGCCGCGGGUAUAGUGGGGGGGCAGGAGUGGUUUGGAAGUAUGGGGCGGAAGGGGGGCGGCGUGGGGUCGGGAAGUCGUUAGUGAAAGCGGUGGGCUCAACUCUGAGAUGGGUAUAGAAACGGCCGUGUUGGAGUGUGGGUGAGGUGAGUGGAAGUCCCGGUGUAGCGGUGAAAUGCGUAGAGAUCGGGAGGAACACCGGUGGCGAAAGCGGCUCACUGGACCACAACUGACGCUGAUGCGCGAAAGCUAGGGGAGCAAACAGGAUUAGAUACCCUGGUAGUC
RNAcentral lists this ribosomal RNA (300 nucleotides) under uncultured Rubellimicrobium sp. RNAcentral's name for it is "bacterial SSU rRNA". It matches the Rfam family "Bacterial small subunit ribosomal RNA", at positions 496 to 795 of the family's 1533-position model. The record is from RNAcentral. Lineage: Bacteria; Pseudomonadati; Pseudomonadota; Alphaproteobacteria; Rhodobacterales; Roseobacteraceae.